AAUCUUUCAAGAGCAUUUAGUGAAUGCCUAGACAGAAGAUGAUUGAGGACGUUAAACGCAACGAAACGCCAUAGAAAGGUGCGUCAAUCCUGAGAUCUAUGGAUUUCCUUUGAGGAAACUUUCAAUUUGAUAUUUACCUGGUGAACUGAAACAUCUCAGUAACCAGAGGAAAAAAAAUCAACCGAGACUCCGUUAGUAGUGGUGAGCGAACACGGAUUAGGCCUUCAUUCUUUUCUGAUUUUUUUGAAGUUUAAGCUGUUUGGAAAAACGCGCCAAAGAGGGUGAUAGCCCCGUCAACUUACAACAAUCAAAAGCCAAGAAUGAUUUUUAGAGUAAAACGAAGACCUUCUUUGUUUGAAUCAGCGUAUCAUCUUUUAUGAUGAUACUUGAAAAGGGGGACCACCCUCUAAGCCUAAGUAUAAUCUUCUGAUCGAUAGUGAACAAGUACCGUGAGGGAAAGGUGAAACAGACCCCUAAACAGGGAGUGAAAAAGAUCCUGAAACUGAAUGCUUACAAGCAGUCGAAGCUCUUUUUUUGAGAAGAGUGACGGCGUACCUUUUGCAUAAUGGGUCAGCGAGUAAAUUUAUGGAGCGAGCCUAAGCUCUUAAGUGGAGGCGGAGUGAAAGCGAGCUUUAAAUGAGCACAGGUCUUUAUUCCAAAAAAAGAAAACAAGUUUCAUAAAUUUGACCCGAAACCAAGCGAUCUAGUCAUGAGCAGGUUGAAAAAAUGAUAAUACGUUUUGGAGGACCGAACCCACAUCUGUGGCAAUAGAUGGGGAUGACUUGUGAUUAUGGGGUGAAAAGCCAAUCGAGCUUGGAAAUAGCUGGUUUUCUGCGAAAUCUAUUGAGGUAGAGCGUAUAGGAUUAGAGAGUAAAAAGGAGGUAGAGCACUCGUUGGGUGAUGGUGGCCCAAAGCCUUACUGAUCCCAUGGAAACUCCGAAUGCCUUUUUAUAGACUAUACAGACAGACUAGAGGCGCUAAGGUCUCUAGUCAAAAGGGAAACAACCCAGAUCGAACGCUAAGGUUCUCAAGCAAUUUCUGAGUGGUAAAGGAAGUUCUUAGGCUCAGACAACCAGGAGGUAGGCUUGGAAGCAGCCAUCCUUUUAAGAAAGCGUAAUAGCUCACUGGUCUAUGUCUAAGAGCACCUAAAAUGUAUCGGAGCUCAAGAUAUUCACCGAAGCGGCGAUUUUAAAUCUUUCGGUUCCAAAUUUGGAACCGAAAGAUUUAAAAGGUAGCAGAACGUUCUGUAAAUUAAAGAUGCUUUGUUGUCAAACAAAGUUGAGAUAUCAGAAGUGAGAAUGCUGACAUGAGUAACGAAAAAUCAUGUGAAAAUCAUGAGAGCCGAAUGUCCUAGGUUUUCUACAGACCGUAUUUCGGUGUAGAGUGAAUCGGCCCCUAAGAGAAAAGCGAAAGCUUCUUUUUAAUGGGUACAAUGUUUAAUAAUCAUUGAUGUGAAUUCAAGUGACGACUAGUAGUACAUUCCACAAGUUAUAGGAUAUCUUGUGUUGUUGGUGUAUUAUGGUCCAGGAAAAAACUUGAUGUUUUCCAAAUUUUUAAUUUGGAUUCAACACACCGUACUUAAACCGACACUGGUGGACUUGUUGAAUAAACUCAGGCUUAGAGAGAAUCAUGUUGAAGGAACUCGGCAAAUUACCUCCGUAACUUCGGAAUAAGGAGGACAUCAACUGUUUUCUUUUUGAACCAGUUGAUGUAUCACAAAAGAGGGGGUGGCGACUGUUUAUUAAAAACACAGGACUCUGCUAAGUGGUAACACGACGUAUAGGGUCUGACACCUGCCCGGUGCUGGAAACUUAACAGGAGGGGUGCUCAUACUUUGUGUGAAAGCUCUUAAUGCAAGGCCCAGUAAACGGCGGCCGUAACUCUGACGGUCCUAAGGUUAAAUAUGAUGUAUUGACGCUCCUUGAAGGUACCACCUUCAAGACAAAUCGCUAGCCUUAGUAAAACUAAACUAUAUGCUGGAAACUCCUCAAAAACUUUGUACUACUCGUCAAGAAUUCUUCUUUUCAGUAAAAAUGUACAAGACACGGGGACAAUCAGCAGGAAAGACUCACACCAAGUGGAGUUCCAGAUUUGGAACCAAUUUGUUAAAGGAAAGACAAAAAGAAUGCUUUUGUCACCACAUGUGAGAAUCCCCAGAGACUAUACGUUUGGGGACUUUUUUCGCUAAAAAAAACAUCUAUGAAUUUACAAACACAAUGGAUUGUAGGUUUUGUUGAUGGUGAAGGCUGUUUUCAUGUUGGAAUCAACAAAAACAGCAGUAUCAACACUGGGUAUCAAGUUCUGCCUGAAUUUACAGUGACACAACACGAAAGAAAUCUCAAAGUGCUGUACGCUUUGAAAUCCUAUUUUCAGUGUGGUGUGGUCCGUGUGAAUCAUGGCGAUCGAUUUUGUUAUCGUGUUCGAAAUUUUGACCAUUUACACCACAUCAUUCUUCCUUUUUUUGAGACACAUAAAUUAGUGACCUCAAAACGCAUCGAUUUUGAAAAAUUUCGACGAAUUUGUCUGUUAAUGGAACGAAAAGCACACCUUUCUGUCCAAGGAGUAGAAGAAAUUCGCCAAAUUCAAGAGUCUAUGAAUCGAAAAGGAAUCCGUUUUUAAGAUCAAGAGCAAAAAAGUCUAAGAUAGAGUCCAGCUUUUAAUGAAAAUUAAGAGAGUAUCUGAGCGAAAUUCCUUGUCGGGUAAACGAGAACUUGCCCGAAUGUUUUGUAAGAAACAGUGUUCUCAAAAAAUUGAGAACUAGUAAACCGACUCAUAACGGGGGAACCCUAAGGUUUGAAAACAGCAAACUAUGGCAAUCCCGUGGGAAGUUUGAUAAUCGUAAAAGAAAACACAAAAAUCACUUUCUUUUAUCAAACCCUGUAACGACUGAUCCGAAAGGAGAGGCUUUCUGAUGUUUUUCAUUUUUUGAGAAUCAAAAACAAAAAAAGAAGGCAACACGUCGGCCCUUAUCAGUUUUCUAACAAAUUUAUGGUUUGAUUGUCUCUUUGUUUGGGUGGUUCUACUCAAACAAGGAGAUCAAAUGCAAAACACUCAAUUUAUGACACCACUAACAGCAGAUUACAUCGUAGGAUUUACAGAUGGAGAAGGAUGUUUUUCUCUUCAUAUUACCAAAAGAACCCAAAAUCAGUUUGGAUUCUGUUUUUCACCUAGUUUUAGUCUUUCUCAAAACACAUCUUCAAAACAAGUUUUGGAAGACAUUCAACUUUUUUUUCAGUGUGGUUUUCUAAGAAAAGACCGUGAAACCAGUAAAUAUGAAGUGCGUGAUUUACAAGAAUUACUAGAAAAAAGCAUCCCUUUUUUUGAAAAAAACAAAUUAACAACACAAAAAAACCAAGAUUUUCUCCUUUUUUGUGAAAUUUGUAAUUUAUUAAAAAAGAAAAAGCAUCUAGAACUCUCUGGUGUCUUGACGCUGAUAGAUUUAGCAUAUUCAAUGAAUAAUACUGGUAAAAAUCGUCGUAAGACAAAACAGCAAUUACUCUCUGAAAUGAAAACCAAACCUACCAAUUUGUGAUAAGGUGAAGGUAUAGUCUGAUCUUUAUGGAAACAUAAAGCUAACACAAGUAACAUCUAAUGAAGUUCCGACCUGCAUGAAUGGUGUCACGACUUCCCCACUGUCUCCAACAUGAUCUCAGUGAAAUUGAAUUCUCCGUGAAGAUGCGGAGUUCCCGAAAGUAGACGGUAAGACCCUAUGCACCUUUACUAUAGUUUAACAUUGAAAAAAGAGUCUGAAUGUGUAGAAUAGGUGGGAGUUUCUUUUCUAAGAAACGUCAAUGAAAUACCACCCUUUCUUUCUCAUUUUUCUAACCUUACAAAAAAGACAACCGUUAAAAAAAUACAUUUUUUCACUGGUGUUCCAAAUAGUUACUAUUUGGAAACCUAGGAACACUGUUAAAUGGGUAGUUUGACUGGGGCGGUCGCUUUAAUAUGGAGCCCUAUUCUAGUAAUAGAAUUUGCAAAUCUGGCUAUAUGCUGGAAUCUCUGUCCAAACCCUCAUUUUUUCUUCCAAACAUCACCGUCUCGAACGAGUUGACUCUCGUUUCUUGGAAGAGUUACUCAAAAGAUGAGAGAUUUGGUGCCAUCUUGCUUUCACACACGGGAAAGCAAACACACUAUGGGUAAAGUAUCUCGAUUGCUUGAUCAUCAUCAAGAAACAGUAUCGAGUGCAGACAAUCAGCAGGAAACCAAUCAUAAACUUUGCGUUUAUGGAGUAGGAUCCUCAACGACUACACGCCAGACGUCCUCGAGACAAUUGGAAGCAGGAAAAAGCUUUCGAUUGCUUGAAGGAUGAUGAUAUAGUCUGAACUACUAGGCGACUAGUAGAAUUUUAGAGCUUUCCAAACUCUAAAAUUUCAUUUACAGAUCUUUUUUUAUGACUUGUUCUUUAUCUGAUAUUCAAAAAGAAAUUUAAAUUGGCUCUUUGUUAGGUGAUGGCCAUCUUGAAACACAAAAUGGAGGCAAAACAUACAGGUACAUUGUUGUGCAAUCGUCAAAAAAACCUUUGUAUUCUCGCUUUCUUCGACAAAGGUUUCAAAAUUACAUUACAACACCACCAUAUACACGAACAUAUCAGACUUUACAAGGUGACUCAUCUACCAUAAGAUUCGUGACUCGAACAAGUCCAGAUUUUGUGACCUUUGCUCACCUGUUUUACAGAGAUGGAGUGAAACGUGUUCCUCCAACUCUUGGAGAUGUGUUAACUCCAGUAGGGGUAGCCAUUUGGUAUAUGGACGAUGGCAGUGAAAAAUCAUCUCAAUCAAAGGGGGUGUUUUUUAACACACACGGUUUUUCACGAGAGGAUCAAGAUCUCCUGUGUGCCAUUUUACAAGACAAAUUUCAGCUUGAUGCUUGGAAAAGACCAGAUUCUCAGAGUUACAGAAUUUAUGUUUCUGGGAAAAGUUAUGAACGGCUCACUCGCCUGAUUACACCCUAUUUCACGGAUGAUAUGUGGUAUAAAUGGCCAGAACCUCGAAAAGUGAGACCACGUAAAUGAAUAACAUUAUUGCCUAAAGAGUAACGGAAGUGUGCGAAGGUAAGCUCAAGCUGGACGGAAAUCAGCUGUAGAGCGUAAUGGUAGAAGCUUGCCUGACUGUAAGACUUACAAGUCAAGCAGAGACGAAAGUCGGCCAUAGUGACCCGGGAGUUCUCAGUGGAAAGGCUCUCGAUCAACGGAUCAAAGGUACGCUAGGGAUAACAGGCUGAUGACUCCCAAGAGCUCUUAUCGACGGAGUCGUUUGGCACCUCGAUUAACAAAAGCCAUAGUCGAGGCUAAAGUGGGUGAAUUGCAAGGACCUCUGUUUCUGGAAACCCGAGAAACAGACAACUUGCAGCGAAGCAUUGUGAAUGGAAAAAAAAAGUAACAAUGAACGUUCAACGACUAGAGAGUGAGAAUUUCCUAUCAAUAAUCUCUCCACGAGCGCCCGCUACCAUUUUUUUUUUUGAAAGUAUGACCAAAAUCAUAAAAAACACAAGAGAUGGCUAUCAUUUGAAUUCAUCCUAUUGACAAACUUAUAAAAAGACUCUUCCAAAACUCCCACAAGACUGUUUUGAUACAGCUGUAGGAAUGCUUUUGGGUGAUGCUACAAUGUCUUAUGUCAGUCAUAACGCAUUGAUUAAAUUUGAACAAGGGGUCAAACAAAAAGAAUUUCUGUUUCAUCUUUUUGAUGUGUUUUCUAGGUAUUGUUUUAUGACAGAACCUGGAAGACGAGUUGAAAAAAAUCACUGUGUGAAAAGUUAUUGGUUUAAAACCUUUUCAUUUCCUGACUUUACUGAUUUAUUUCUGAUACUUCACGACCAACGUCAUGGAAAAUGGAAAAAAACAAUCAAGCAAGGAUUGAUUCGUGAUUGGUUAACUCCUCGAGGAUUCGCGUAUUGGAUUAUGUGUGAUGGAAGUUUACAAAAAGACAACCAAACACUGAUUCUUCAUACUCAAGGAUUUUGUUUGCAGGAGAACACUGUUUUAUCAACAGAAUUAAACAAGAAAUUUCAACUGCAUUCUCGUGUGAUUUCACAUAAAACACACUAUUUUGUGCUUGAAUUCCCUCGUCACGACAGUGAGACAUUGGGUGCUUUACUGAAUCAGUAUUUCAUCCCAAUUAUGCUCUAUAAACUUCCUGAUUGCAACUUGAAAAAAAAAUGUGGUAAUGACAUAGUCUGAGCUACUCUGUGAAGAGUAGAAAUUUAGGAUAAAAAGCCUAAAUGAUAACAUCACUGGUCGACUCAUCGCAUCCUCGAGCUGAAGAAGGUUCGAAGGGUUCGGCUGUUCGCCGAUGAAAGCGGUACGUGAGUUGGGUUUAGUACGUCGUGAGACAGUACGGAUCCUAUCUUUUUCGGGUGAUAAAAAUUGAGAGAACCAUUUCCUUGUACGAGAGGACCGGAAAUGACGAACCUCUGGUGUACCAGUUGUUGUGCCAACAGCAUCGCUGGGUAGCUACGUUCGGAACGUAGAACUGCUGAAAGCAUCUCAAGCAGGAAUUCGUUUCUCAAAACAAGUUUUUAAAAUCGUCGAAGACUACGACGUAAUAGGCGAGAUGUGAAAAUUUCGUGAGAAAGCAGCUAACUCGUACUAAUUUUUUUCUACCUCUAGAUUUAAAUC
This 6613-nucleotide ribosomal RNA is filed under the name Chlorella heliozoae. RNAcentral describes it as "23S ribosomal RNA". The stretch from base 11 to 1967 matches the Rfam family "Bacterial large subunit ribosomal RNA", at positions 15 to 2044 of the family's 2925-position model. The record is from RNAcentral. Lineage: Eukaryota; Viridiplantae; Chlorophyta; Trebouxiophyceae; Chlorellales; Chlorellaceae.